GCCCUUAGAGUUUGAUCCUGGCUCAGGACGAACGCUGGCGGCGUGCUUAACACAUGCGAGUCGAGGGGGCCCCCGGCUCUAACCUUUUGGUUAGAGCCGGACCAGGCUUACCGGCGGACGGGUGAGUAACACGUGGAUGACCUACCCCAAAGUCGGGGAUAACAGCCCGAAAGGGCUGCUAAUACCGGAUAAUCCCAUGAUGGUGCAUGCCAUAUUGGGUAAAGGCCGUAAGGCUGCUUUGGGAGGGGUCCGCGGCCCAUUAGCUAGUUGGUAGAUUAAAGGCCUACCAAGGCGACGAUGGGUAGCCGGCCUUAGCGGGUGGUCGGCCACACUGGGACUGAGACACGGCCCAGACUCCUACGGGAGGCAGCAGUGGGGAAUCUUGCGCAAUGGGCGAAAGCCUGACGCAGCGACGCCGCGUGAGUGAAGAAGGCCUUCGGGUUGUAAAGCUCUUUAUAGGGGGAAGAACUCAGACGGUACCCCUUCAAAAAGCCCCGGCCAACUACGUGCCAGCAGCCGCGGUAACACGUAGGGGGCAAGCGUUGUCCGGAAUUACUGGGCGUAGAGGGCGCGCAGGCGGCUCUGCAAGUCAGUUGUGAAAGCCCGUGGCUC
This 612-nucleotide ribosomal RNA is filed under the name uncultured low G+C Gram-positive bacterium. RNAcentral's name for it is "bacterial SSU rRNA". It matches the Rfam family "Bacterial small subunit ribosomal RNA", at positions 1 to 610 of the family's 1533-position model. Lineage: Bacteria; Bacillati; Bacillota. The record is from RNAcentral.